Cinara cedri is the source of this 245-nucleotide non-coding RNA. The record is from the annotation of a GenBank genome assembly. NCBI's taxonomy places the organism in Eukaryota, Metazoa, Arthropoda, Insecta, Hemiptera, Aphididae.
CUUGACAACAAUAAUUCUCUGCUCACAAUCGUUUAUCGUUAGUAAUGGUUUAUUAAAUCGCUCUACGUGUACUCCCUUUCGAUUUCCCACCUAAAACUGUAGUGGCAUACCCAUUAGCAGUAUUGGCUUCUUUAAAUAUAUAACGUCAAAGUGUUUACAGAUUGUUACGUUUACGUCCGUUUUACGCAUCUUCUCCACAAGCAACAUAAUAUGUCGUAGUUAUCCACUAUUAUCGAGAAUUUCUU